GCCGCUGUGGUGAAACUGGCAGACGCAACAGACUCAAAAUCUGUCGAGGGUGACCUCGUGUCGGUUCGACUCCGACCAGCGGCACCA
This 87-nucleotide transfer RNA is filed under the name Clostridiales bacterium. Its description in RNAcentral is "tRNA-Leu". It matches the Rfam family "tRNA". From Rfam's summary of the family: Transfer RNA (tRNA) molecules are approximately 80 nucleotides in length. Their secondary structure includes four short double-helical elements and three loops (D, anti-codon, and T loops). Lineage: Bacteria; Bacillati; Bacillota; Clostridia; Eubacteriales. The record is from RNAcentral.